Molecule: ribosomal RNA, 699 nt
Filed under: uncultured archaeon
Lineage: Archaea
Description: bacterial SSU rRNA
Rfam family: Archaeal small subunit ribosomal RNA
Source: RNAcentral
GGAUAACCUACCCUUAGGACUGGGAUAACCUUGGGAAACUGAGGCUAAUACCGGAUAAGCAAUUUUUCCUGGAAUGGUUUUUUGUUUAAAUGUUUUUUCGCCUAAGGAUGGGUCUGCGGCCGAUUAGGUAGUUGGUUAGGUAAUGGCUUACCAAGCCGUUGAUCGGUACGGGUUGUGAGAGCAAGAGCCCGGAGAUGGAACCUGAGACAAGGUUCCAGGCCCUACGGGGUGCAGCAGGCGCGAAACCUCCGCAAUGUGAGAAAUCGCGACGGGGGGAUCCCAAGUGCCAUUCUUAACGGGAUGGCUUUUCAUUAGUGUAAAGAGCUUUUGGAAUAAGAGCUGGGCAAGACCGGUGCCAGCCGCCGCGGUAACACCGGCAGCUCUAGUGGUGGCAAUUUUUAUUGGGCCUAAAGCGUCCGUAGCCGGUUUAAUAAGUCUCUGGUGAAAUCCUGUAGCUUAACUGUGGGAAUUGCUGGAGAUACUAUUAGACUUGAGACCGGGAGAGGUUAGAGGUACUCCCAGGGUAGAGGUGAAAUUCUGUAAUCCUGGGAGGACCGCCUGUUGCGAAGGCGUCUAACUGGAACGGUUCUGACGGUGAGGGACGAAAGUUAGGGGCGCGAACCGGAUUAGAUACCCGGGUAGUCCUAACUGUAAACGAUGCGGACUUGGUGUUGGGGUGGCUUUGAGCUGCUCCAGUGC